UACGGAGGGUGCGAGCGUUGUCCGGAAUCACUGGGCGUAAAGGGCGCGUAGGUGGCUCGGCAAGCGUGCGGUGAAAGUUCGAGGCUCAACCUCGAAUCGGCCGUGCGAACUGCCAGGCUUGAGCACUGUAGAGGCAGAUGGAAUUCCUGGUGUAGCGGUGGAAUGCGCAGAUAUCAGGAGGAACACCGGUGGCGAAGGCGGUUCUCUGGGCAUUACCUGACGCUGAGGAGCGAAAGUGUGGGGAGCGAACAGG
This 253-nucleotide ribosomal RNA is filed under the name uncultured bacterium. RNAcentral describes it as "partial 16S ribosomal RNA". It matches the Rfam family "Bacterial small subunit ribosomal RNA", at positions 524 to 776 of the family's 1533-position model. The record is from RNAcentral.